This 5695-nucleotide long non-coding RNA is filed under the name Zea mays. Its description in RNAcentral is "long non-coding RNA (ZMAY_LNC003386)". The record is from RNAcentral. Lineage: Eukaryota; Viridiplantae; Streptophyta; Magnoliopsida; Poales; Poaceae.
CGCGGCAGGGGAGCGAGAGCCCGGAGGAGCGGUCGUCGGCGCCGUCGAAGAGGCCCGGCUCGUAGGCGCCCUUCCGCUUCAGCGACAGGCCGUGGAACUCCUCCGUGAGCACUACCAUCGCCGCCGCCGUCACACUGUUAGCAGAAGCAGAGAAGAGAGGUUUCGUGGGCAAGAAGAAGAAGAAGAUAGCGGGGAAGCGGGGAUUGGUAUUGUGAUUUCUGAUCAUUCUCUGUCCAAAGCGUUCUGCUUAUUACAUAUUUGUACCUCUCACUACUGCCUCAACCAUUCCGGCCCACAUACACGCACAUUGGGCUUGCGAACACGUCUUGCCACUCGCGGCCCAUUCACAGCCGGCGUCUUCUCCACAGCGCCUUCAUCAGCCACCGGCGUCGCCUUCUGCGUCGCGUCUUCUUCAGCCGCACCUUCCACUGGAGAGCCCGUGGGUGGAGUCCUGACAUUCCCCCCUUGUAAAGAACCUGCUUGUCCCCAAGCAGGCGCUCGAGGAAAGGCUUGCCGUAGAGCAGUAGCAUCCUCCCAAGUUGCCAGAGAUGCCGGCAAACCGGACCACUGAACCAGCACUUGAGGUUGACCAUCAGAUGCCAGGCGACGUCGCAACACACGCUGGGGAACCUGAAAACUGUCCAAGGAAUCAGGUAACUGAGCAAUGGAAGUAGCCUCCGGCACCGCGCGCUUCAGCUGGGAAACGUGAAAGACAGGAUGAAUAGUGGAUGACGCCGGGAGUUCCAAUUUGUAGGCCACAGGUCCCACUGUUGACAACACCUUGAAGGGCCCAAAGAAACGGAAGGCCAACUUCUGGUUAGCGCGAUGAGCGAGCGAAGACUGCACAUAAGGUUGAAGGCGGACAUAGACCAUAUCACCAAUUUGAAAGGAACGCUCGGACCUCUUCUUAUCAGCCUGCAUCUUCAUGCGAAGUUGGGCACGAGCCAAAUGUUGUUUGACUAAAUCCAUCAUGACUUUCUUCUCCUCUAUCCAUUCCUGCAGGGAGGGAAUCGGACAGACAGCAGAAGACUCAACUCCAAAGUGACGAGGAGCAUAGCCAUACAAGACCUCAAAGGGAGAAAAACCCAAGGCUGAGUGCCAACUGGAAUUAUACCAAAACUCAGCUAAAUAGAGCCAAUCCACCCAUUUGCUGGGGCAAGCAUUCACAAAGCACCUCAAAUAUGUUUCCAUGCACUGAUUCACACGUUCAGUCUGCCCAUCGGAUUGUGGAUGAUACGCAGAACUCAUGUUGAGAGAAACCCCUGCCAAAGAAAAGAGUGUCUUCCACAGCUGACUGGUGAAAAUACGAUCCCUGUCAGAUAUAAUGGCAGUAGGCAAACCAUGCAACUUGUAAAUGUUCUGCAUGAAGACAUGAGCAACUGAAGCUGCUGUGAAUGGAUGUCGUAAGGGAAUAAAGUGGCUAAACUUGGAAAAUUUAUCCACCACCACUAAGACACAAUUCUUGCCAUGAGAAAGAGGAAGUCCUUCCACAAAAUCAAGGCUCACUGUUCGCCAGGCGCCGUCAGGUAUAGCCAAAGGCUGAAGCAGUCCUGGGUACCUACUCCUGUCGGGCUUGGCCUGUAAACAAGUAGAGCAUGCCGAAACAAAGUCUUGUACACUCUUCUUGAGACCUGACCAUGCAAAUAACUGCUUGAUGCGCUUGUAAGUGACUGGAAUACCAGAAUGACCACCGAGAGGAGAGCUAUGCAUAGCAGCCAAAAUGGAGCGCUGAAGAGAAUCAUUCUGGCCAACCCAUAGCCGGCCUUUAAAACGAAGCAGACCAUCAGAGAGGGAAAAAUUAGGAACAGCAGUGUUGUCAACAGCCAGCUUGGUGAGAAUGUCCUUGGAUUUGGGAUCACUCAAAUAUCCAUCCUGUAACGCUUGACACCAUUGUGGAGUUGAUACUGAAACAGCAUACAAGGAAACCAGUGGGUGAGCUCUUCUGGACAACGCAUCAGCGACACCAUUUUCAGUACCCUGCUUGUACACAAUACGGUAUUGCAAACCCAUCAGCUUAGUGAAGACUUUUUGUUGCCAGGGAGUGUUCAAACGCUGUUCAUUGAGAUGCACCAGACUUUUUUGAUCAGUGAAGAUAGUAAAUUCUCCUUGUAACAAAUAGGAUCUCCACUGUUCCACGGCUACCAAAAUAGCCAAAUAUUCCUUUUCAUAUGUCGAGAGACCCUGUGUCUUGAUUCCCAAAGGUUUGCUAAUAAACGCCAAUGGGUGACCGUCCUGAAGUAACACAGCCCCUACACCUGUCUGGCAAGCGUCUGUUUCAAUACAGAAGGGCUUAGAAAAAUCAGGCAAACUUAACACUGGAGCUGAACUAAGCAGCUUUUUGAGUGUUGAAAAUGCCAGCUCAUGAUCAGAUGUCCAUAUAUAUAAUGUCCCUUUUUUGAGUAAGUCGGUCAAGGGCUUGGCAAUGACUGCAAAAUGGCGCACAAAUCUCCUAUAGUAACCCGCAAGACCGAGAAAACUCCUUAAUUCCUUAACAUUAGUUGGACUCGGCCAGUGCAAAAUGGCGUCAACCUUGGAAGGGUCAGUGGCCACCCCUUUCUCACUAAUAAUAUGCCCCAAGUAGGAUAUGGAUCGAGCUGCAAAGGUACAUUUGGAACGUUUGACAAACCAUGAGUCUUUUUUUAACAGAGAAAAGACUUGUUCUAAAUGUGUCAGGUGCUCCUCGAAUGUGGAACUGAACACCAAAAUGUCAUCAAAGAAGACAAUAACACAUUUCCGCAGGAGAGGACGCAAUGUGGUGUUCAUAGCACCCUGAAAUGUAGCAGGGGCGCCAGAUAAUCCAAAAGCCAUGACCAGAAAUUCAAACUGUCCAUGAUGAGUCUGAAAUGCUGUUUUAUAUUCCUCACCAGCUUUCAGCCGCACCUGAUGAUAUCCUGAUAACAAGUCUAACGUGGAGAACCAACUGGCGCCAGACAAUUCAUCAAUGAGCUGCUCAAAAAUAGGUAUAGGAAACCUAGUUUUGACUGUCAAGGCAUUUAAGUAGCGAUAAUCCACGCAAAAACGAAAUGAUCCAUCCUUUUUGCGAACCAACAACACUGGAGAGGAAAAUGAAGAUGAGCUGGGCUGUAUUAUACCUUUCUGUAACAUGUCGGCCACUUGAGCCUCAAUCUCGUCUUUUAGAGCAGGAGGAUAACGGUAGGGGCGAACACACACAGGUCGGGCUCCAGCAACCAAGGGAAUAGAGUGAUCACACUGCCGGACAGGAGGUAAUGAAUCUGGCACAGAGAACAAUUGCGAGUAGGUGUCGAGCAGGGAGGCAACUGCAGGAUGCACCACAGUUUCCUGUGACGGUUUAACCACUGCUACAUGAAGGAACAGAUCAUCCGGUAUACCUUGUCCGCUGCCUUGCAAAAGCACUGGAGUCCCCUGGAACUGAAUGAUCAUCCAUUUAUCUUUCCAAUCCACUCUCAUCGGGCUAAAUUUCUCCAGCCAGUCCAUUCCAAGAAUUAAAUCAUAGGAAGGCAGAGACAACACCUUGAGAUCUUGAAUAAAAGUGCACUGUUGAAUUGUCCAUUCAGCUUGAGGUAAGACAGCCAUACACUGUAACACAUUACCAUCAGCAACCUUAACCUGAACAUUUGUAGGCACCAACUGAAGAGAACCAAUUUUGUCCACCAUGUGCUGGCUCAGAAAUGAAUGGGUACUGCCAGAGUCUACCAAAAUAUGGAGAGGAUACUGAUGCAUUGACCCCAUAAAUUGUAAGGCUCUCUUAGCUGUCUGUCCAGACAAGGGUGCAGGUGAAAGAGCCAAAAAUAUUUGUUCAUUACCCAACACAUCCGCUGCAAUUUCUUGUGCAUCUGAGUCUGCCACCUGGAAUAAUUCAAAGACUUCUUGCAUGGCAUGAAGUUGAACUGUUGUAGCACAUGUAUGACCCUUAGACCACUUCUCAGCACAGCGGUCACACAGCCCUUUAGCACGCCUAUACGCUCGGAGAGCCUUGAACUUGUCAUCAGUGGAGGGAACAUGUGUGUUGGAAGGUUUGCUUAGUCCUUGCGGCUCUUGGCUUGUCUGGCCCGAAUGAGACUGAACAACCAUAGAAGGGCCUCGGUAUCCCGGUUUGGACCAGAAACCAGGAUCACGCUUCUGGAACUCGCGACGAUGCCCCGGAUCCGUCACUUCCUCCUGCAAAAGGGCCAAACAACAAGCAGUAUCCAGGUCGCCAGGGCGUUGCAGAAGAACAACAGCACGUAGAUCAGGCCUUAGCCCUUCGACAAAACGUGUAGUGAAGUACAGUGGGUCAGCUGUGUGUUGAUAUGCUGAUAAUUGGUCCACCAGAGUAGAAAAAUUCUCAAUAUACUCUGAAACUACACCAGUUUGCCUAAUACGAAACAGCUGACGCAAGAGCGACUGGUAUUGAUCACGACCGUAACGACCAUGAAGAAGGGUGCAAAACAACGGCCAACUAAUAUGAUGAUACUGAUGCUCUAAGGACUGAAACCAGCAAGCAACAGACGGUGUCAAAUGCAUAGUAGCGAUUUUGACCCAUGCCUCAGGUUCAACAGAAUACAUGUCGAAGUAUUUUUCACAACGCGAAAUCCAAAGUCGCGGAUUAUCGCCAUCAAACAUGUGAAAAGGCAGUUGAGGCAUUCUGCUGGCUGCACGCGGACCAGCGUCCAGAAAACGCUGACGGGCUAAGCACUCAUCAUAUAAGGAACCAUGGAAACGAGGUGGGGAGGAAGGGGAAGGUCCCGUACCCUUGACCGGGCCAGGGAGGAGGAUCGGGUCCGAUCCAAAACCCUGAUCCCGGUGGAAGUGAUCGUCGCGGUGGCCGAUCUGGCCGAUUGGUUUGGUGAAGCCGAGAUUGCUGUUCGCGAAAUCCGGCUUAGAGAGAAGUCCAGGUUGCAGCGGCGCCUGCUCGAGGACGGAUCGGUCAACUUGUUUGCCGAGCUUGCGCAAUUCCAACUUCAGAUCGUCCAUGGCGGCAUCGACCUUAGGCCGCCACUGGUCGAGAUCGGCCGUCGCCGACUCCAGAGCGCCCAGUCGUCCUUCCUUGCGACGAUCAGCCUCCGUGAACUGAUUCUCGAGCGCAGCAAACUUCUUCGUCAUCUCAUCAAGGAUGAGCUUCGUAUUGGCAUCCAUUGUUUGGCGAAGUUGCUGCGAGCGAGUGUUGUAAUGGUGAGCAACAGACUGCGCCAGAGCGACGACUCCCGGGACCGACGAAUCUGAUACCAGAAUGUUAGCAGAAGCAGAGAAGAGAGGUUUCGUGGGCAAGAAGAAGAAGAAGAUAGCGGGGAAGCGGGGAUUGGUAUUGUGAUUUCUGAUCAUUCUCUGUCCAAAGCGUUCUGCUUAUUACAUAUUUGUACCUCUCACUACUGCCUCAACCAUUCCGGCCCACAUACACGCACAUUGGGCUUGCGAACACGUCUUGCCACUCGCGGCCCAUUCACAGCCGGCGUCUUCUCCACAGCGCCUUCAUCAGCCACCGGCGUCGCCUUCUGCGUCGCGUCUUCUUCAGCCGCACCUUCCACUGGAGAGCCCGUGGGUGGAGUCCUGACACACACUCGCACUACUACCUUGGUCCGUCGUUGUUGGUAGGGCCCCUCCUCUGCUCUCCGACUAGCUUCGCUUCUCGUGGGUCCUUGGCUCCUUGCGUGUUCUAGAUCGCUGUGGUGGACGUGCAAUGUAUGGCGGGAGAUAUAUGAGCUCCGGUCUGGAGAGCUGAGUGGACAAGUGGGAA